This is a long non-coding RNA of Carassius carassius (crucian carp), 232 nucleotides long. RefSeq lists it as uncharacterized. NCBI's taxonomy places the organism in Eukaryota, Metazoa, Chordata, Actinopteri, Cypriniformes, Cyprinidae. The transcript is spliced from 3 exons. The record is from RefSeq and is a predicted model, not a curated record.
GGGUGAAGAAGAGCUGCAGCAAGAGCAAGAGCAGAGUGAGGGAGUGAAGAACCAGAAAGAACAGAAAGCCAGAUACAGUGAUGACUUCAUUUCCAGCCACUACCAGCUGGGUGAUCUGCUGGGUGAAGGUGGAUUUGGUUCUGUGUAUGAGGCGAGACGUUUGGAGGAUGACCUUAAAGUGGCGGUCAAAUAUGUUAAUAAGACCAAAAACUACAGGGAAAGUUUAUACAUU